CCCAGAGAAAUUUGGAUUAAUACCUUAUAAUAAUAUUCAUUCGCAUGUCUGAAUAUUUAAAGCUUUUGCGGAAGAAGAUGGGCAUGCGUGACAUUAGUUUGUUGGUGAGGUAACGGCUCACCAAGACUACGAUGUCUAGGGGUUCUGAGAGGAUGAUCCCCCACACUGGUACUGAGACACGGACCAGACUCCUACGGGAGGCAGCAGUGAGGAAUAUUGGUCAAUGGACGAAAGUCUGAACCAGCCAUGCCGCGUGAAGGAUGACGGCCCUACGGGUUGUAAACUUCUUUUGUAUAGGAAGAAACCCCCCUACGUGUAGGGGGCUG
Molecule: ribosomal RNA, 326 nt
Filed under: uncultured bacterium
Lineage: Bacteria
Description: bacterial SSU rRNA
Rfam family: Bacterial small subunit ribosomal RNA
Source: RNAcentral